RNAcentral lists this long non-coding RNA (411 nucleotides) under Solanum tuberosum (potato). Its description in RNAcentral is "long non-coding RNA (STUB_LNC003373)". The record is from RNAcentral. Lineage: Eukaryota; Viridiplantae; Streptophyta; Magnoliopsida; Solanales; Solanaceae.
GACACGUGGCGGUUGAAUUCAAUUAAAAAAAUUCUAUUUAAAUAUUCCAAAAAGAAUUUUAAGAAAAUAAAAAUGAACUCUUUUAAUUAACACCCCCACCAUCCGUACGUCUUCUUCUUCUUCUUCUUCGUGUUGAGACUGUUUCCCCUUUCCGUCGGCGCCGACACGCAAAUAAAUCAUCGCCCUACUCUUUCAUUCCCUUUCAUCGGCAGCACCUCCUACCAUUGCCAUCAUUUUCUUUCGAUUAAUAAAUAUUUAUCACAGUUACAAGAAAUAAUAACAAUUUUUUACCUGAAAAAUAAUUGAUUCAGUUUUCUUACAUCGGAAUAAAUGGAGUUUCACCGGAAUAUUUGAAACCUGAAAAAAGAAGAAUAAUUGGAGAGGGUGAGAGAGAAAGUUAGAGGGGGUGGG